Molecule: ribosomal RNA, 429 nt
Filed under: Verrucomicrobiota bacterium
Lineage: Bacteria; Pseudomonadati; Verrucomicrobiota
Description: Verrucomicrobia bacterium partial 16S ribosomal RNA
Rfam family: Bacterial small subunit ribosomal RNA
Source: RNAcentral
UAGGGAAUCUUCGGCAAUGGGGGGAACCCUGACCGAGCAACGCCGCGUGUGUGAAGAAGGUUUCCGGAUCGUAAAGCACUGUUGUUAAGGAAGAACGAGUGUGAGAAUGGAAAGUUCAUGCUGUGACGGUACUUAACCAGAAAGGGACGGCUAACUACGUGACAGCAGCCGCGGUAAUACUUAGGUCCCGAGCGUUGUCCGGAUUCAUUGGGCGCAAAGUGCACCAAGGUGGUUAGAUAAGUCUGGAGUGAAAGGCAGUGGCUCAACCAUUGUAGGCUUUGGACACUGUUUAACUGGAGUGCAGAAGGGGAGAAUGAAAUUCGAUGUGUAGCGGUGAAAGGCGUAGAUAUAUAGAGUAAAACCGGUGGCGAAAGCGGCUCUCUGGUCUGUAACUGACGCUAAGGCUCGAAAGCGUGGGGAGCGAACAGG